Molecule: ribosomal RNA, 484 nt
Filed under: uncultured bacterium
Lineage: Bacteria
Description: partial 16S ribosomal RNA
Rfam family: Bacterial small subunit ribosomal RNA
Source: RNAcentral
AUUGAACGCUGGCGGCAGGCCUAACACAUGCAAGUCGAGCGGAUGAAGGGAGCUUGCCCCUGGCAUCAGCGGCGGUCGGGUGUGUAAUGCCUAGGAAUCUGUCUGGUAGUGGGGGAUAAAGUUCGGCAAAGAGCGCUAAUACCGCAUACGUCCUAGGGGAACAAGCGGGGGAUCUUCGCACGUCACGCUAUCAGAUGAGCCUAGGUCGGAUUAGCUAGUUGGGGGGGUAGAGGCCUAACAAGGCGACGAUCCGUAACUGGUCUGAGAGGAUGAUCAGUCACACUGGAACAGAGACACGGUCCAGACUCCUGCGGUAGGCAGCGGUGGGGAAUAUUGGACGAUGGGCGAAAGCGUGAUCCAGCCAUGCGGCGUGUGUGAUGAAGGUCUUCUGAUGGUAGAGCACUAUAAGUUGGAAGGUAGUGCAGUAAGUUAAUACCUUACGGUAUUGACGUUACCAACAGAAUAAGCACCGGCUAACUUCGUG